RNAcentral lists this non-coding RNA (1059 nucleotides) under Pongo abelii (Sumatran orangutan). The record is from RNAcentral. Lineage: Eukaryota; Metazoa; Chordata; Mammalia; Primates; Hominidae.
UGUGUGCUCGGCUGACUACACGUCCAGCCUCGGGCCAGCUCGAGACGGCCACAUUGCCUGGUUGAAGAUGGCCGCGUGUAAACCAGAAUGCAAGUCAGCUGGGGCACGUACUACUGGAGGCAGAGCCCCAUGAGAAGGGGCCAAGAACCCGCACCCAUCAAAAUCAAGAAGAAAGGCUGAACCCGGAGAGAAAAGGGAGCAACUGAUGUUGCCAUGCAGAUCCCUUGGUUGCUAUGAGAUGGUAACAUCACUCUGCCCCACCAUUGGCCAGUGCCUCCUCAGCUGCGGUGCCUCCCAGGCUGUGUGGUUCUCACGCGGGCCGCUGACACAGAGCUGUUACUAUGGUGAACUUUACAAUUUCCUUUGAUUGGUGGAUUUCAGAAAUAGGCCAUCAGCGGAAUUCAUUAUAUUCAGCUAAGUCAAAAUGAAAAAUAAAUACUAUAACUUUCCCCUCAUCACUAACAUGAAGGAAACGUGACCCUUCAUGACAUAAUAAAUCGCUGUUAGGUAACUUAAGAUCCUUCAGGGGACUGAAGCGGGAUGAUCCUCCUAUGCCAAAUUUGGGUGGGAAAUAUAUCCCCUGUUACUUUGAGUCGACUCUUCAGAGUUAAGGGCAGUGGGCCAACAAGAGUUGGAACUUCAGAGUUGGGAGGAGGUGUGGGAUGGGGCAUGCAUUAAAAUGUAAACUCUAUUGUCUCUGAAGUGAUGGGUGAUGCUGGGGCCCUGAGUGUGGAGGGCAGUUUUACAUCUCAGGACAAUGUUUUCUCAGAUGCUCUUCCAGAAAGGAAAGCCAGGAGUACUCCUGGCUGGAGGCGGCAUGCCUGGGGUCAGAGUCAAAGUAGGGUUUGUGCUGUCUGAAUCCUUUCUCCCACUCUCCCCAGCCUGGCUCAGCUUCUCAUAGGUGGAUUGGUGAGUCCUGGCCAAUUAUGCUUCAGCUCAUCUCUACUCGCGGCAAAUAGGAAAAAGAGAGUGAAGGACUGAGUUUUAACCCUUCUAGUUUCGUAACCUGACUCUCUAUAAGAAAAAGUGGGAGAAAGACUGAAGAACCCGAGAGAAGAG